UAUCUCUGUAGAGUCUGCAUAUCAAUAAGCGGAGGAAAAGAAACUAACAAGGAUUCCCUUAGUAACGGCGAGUGAAGCGGGAAGAGCUCAAAUUUGAAAUCUUCAAGGUUUUACCUUGACGAAUUGUAGUUUAAAGAAGUGUUUUCUGUUGAAGUUUCGGUAAAAGUUCUUUGGAAUAGGACAUCAUAGAGGGUGAGAAUCCCGUAUUUGACCGUUAUUUUCAGCUGUGUGAUACACUUUCAAAGAGUCGGAUUGUUUGGGAAUGCAGUCCAAAAUGGGUGGUAAAUUUCAUCUAAAGCUAAAUAUUGGCGAGAGACCGAUAGCGAACAAGUACCGUGAGGGAAAGAUGAAAAGAACUUUGAAAAGAGAGUUAAACAGUACGUGAAAUUGUCAAAAGGGAAGCGUUUGACACCAGUGUUGUUUUCUCGAAAAUCAAUUAAAAAUGAGCCUGAUUUUGUGUUGUAUUGACCUUUAUCAAGCUUUCUGCACUUUUUUCAUUGUCUUUUUUAAUGCACUUUUCGUUUAACAAGUCAACAUCAAUUUCUUUUGUUGUAAAAGGGUCAUUGGAAGGUGGCUUUCACUUCGGUGAAAGUGUUUAUAGCCUUUGACUUCUGCAAUCGGAGAGAUUGAGGUCUGCAGCGUAGAUCCUUCGGGGUUAGAUACAUUUGUGCUAAGUUAUAGCUUUUCAUAGACAACAUGUUGACUAUGAUUAAGUCAUGUAGCUUACUCGCUUAUGCUAUUUUACCUACGCUUAGGAUGUUG
RNAcentral lists this ribosomal RNA (762 nucleotides) under uncultured Neocallimastigales. Its description in RNAcentral is "partial large subunit ribosomal RNA". It matches the Rfam family "Eukaryotic large subunit ribosomal RNA", at positions 24 to 628 of the family's 3401-position model. The record is from RNAcentral. Lineage: Eukaryota; Fungi; Neocallimastigomycota; Neocallimastigomycetes; Neocallimastigales.